AGACAUUAAUGGAGAAGUAUCUAUACGAAAAAGAUAGAACCUUUGAAGUGUUUCCUCAUUUAAAAGCGACAUAAUAACAAAUUAAUUUAAAAUGAAGCGAAAGAAUAGGCCAUUACAUAUACAUUAAAUACCAAAUUGAGGCUUAGAAUAUCACAUAGAAAUUAAGCAAGUCAGGCAAACCAGUUUUUGCACCAACCAUCAUAGAAUUAAAAUUAUAAAUUAUAUUGUGAAGUUCUAGAAAAAGGAUAGCAAAACAAAAAUUAUGAAAAAUAGUAAAUUAACCUAAGAGGAUGGAUUUGUUCAGUGUCAGGAUGAUCAACAAUUGAGGCUCUUUUCUUGUUAGGAAAUUAUAGGAGAAAUGCAGAGAAUAUAAAAACAAUAUAAUUUAGGAAAACAUGAGAUACAUAUCAAGUUAGGUUAAUUAAGAGUGAAUAUUAGAAUUUUGGUGAAACUUGGAAGAAAAGAAAGAUGAAAAGUUUAGACAUUAAUGGAGAAGUAUCUAUACGAAAAAGAUAGAACCUUUGAAGUGUUUCCUCAUUUCAAAGCGACAUAAUAACAAAUUAAUUUAAAAUGAAGCGAAAGAAUAGGCCAUUACAUAUAGAUUAAAUACCAAAUUGAGGCUUAGAAUAUCACAUAGAAAUUAAGGAAGUCAGGCACACCAGUUUUUGCACCAACCAUCAUAGA
This 684-nucleotide long non-coding RNA is filed under the name Phoenix dactylifera (date palm). Its description in RNAcentral is "long non-coding RNA (PDAC_LNC006465)". The record is from RNAcentral. Lineage: Eukaryota; Viridiplantae; Streptophyta; Magnoliopsida; Arecales; Arecaceae.